UCAUCUUUAGGGAACAAAGCUAUGCAAUGAUUACGUCAAAGACCUAUCUCCAGAACCCUGAACAUCUCUGCCUUUAUCUAACAUCCCUUUAAAUAUUCUGUAGCCUCCAUACUCAUCACCUCAGCUGCAUUGUUGUGCCAUUCAUCUUUAUUCUUAUCAGAUGGUGAGUGCAAUCCUGCAUGGUCAGUAUUUGUCAUCUAGAUCUUUAAGGCCAAGCUGUCCAGCUACCUGCGAACCAAUCAUGUUGUUUUUGGCAAGCAGAAUGUCUUUGCCAUCAAUAAUUGGUCAACAAGCUACAAACCAAUCGGCAAUGCAUUGCCAGCUGAAUCGCCAUUAGUGUAUAAUGCUUGACUCCAGCUCGUCUGCAAACUCCACUUUAGUUACUGUCUGGACCAGUACCUGUCUCACAAUCAAAAAUACAGAAAAAAAUGAAACAACACAACAUAUCGUCUUAGAACCAGUAAAACUCUCUCCCCUUGUCUUUGUCCCAGACUAUGGCUAUGGUUAUGGAUGUUAGAGAUCAGUCAACACAGCUGCAAGACGACUCUGAAAGACUUCCCAGGGAAAUACCAAGGCCCAGCCAGCUUCAGAUGACCUUCCUGCCAUCAUAAGGAAAAUCUUUGAACAAGAACAAAAUCAGCAAAAUGCAGAGCAAAGAAUCACUUUCAUCAGCAUCGUGAAAUUACUGUGGAGUAUGGUGUGAGUAGAAUCUGAAGUCGCGAUCUUCAUUUCAGAAGGACAUAUUCUGACAGACCUGAUGAGUCCCUCCAGCAAUUUGAUUUGUUUCAUAUUACCAGCUGCAGUUCCUUGUUUUCUAUAAGAAAAUGUAGCAAUUUACUGUCAAUUCGCACAAGCCUAUUGUUCACUUGUUAAAAACGUCAAAGCGUUUUUUGACUAUGCUAAUCACCCUGACGGUAUUUGCAUCAUUUUUUUAAAAACCUCCAUUUUUAUUUGAUUAUGAAGCAUCAACCUCAUUUCUGCAAGUCUGCAAGGAUUCAGAAACUCUUAAAAAUGCACCUUUUAAAAUUUUGUUUAUGGGAUGUGGGUUUUGCUGGCUGGGCCCCAUUUAUUUCCCAUCCCUAAUUGCCCAGAGGGUAGGUAAAAGUGAACUUCAUUGCUGUGGGCCAUGGUUUACUCACAGAUCUGACCACGUAAGGAUGGCAUGUUCCCUUCCUCAAAAGGCAUUCACCAACUAUAUGGGGCUUUUACAACCAUCUUCAAUGGUUACAUAGUUGACAUUUGACUUUCUGAUUCCAAAAUUUUUAGGAAACUCAGAUUUUAUCAUCUGCUACAGAGGGAUUUCAGUUCAUGGCCCUAAAAGAUUAUCCUGAAGUUACUAAACCCACAACCUUACCUGAACACUAUUGCCUUCAACGCAAAACAAACCUUUUGGCCAGACCAUUUCUUUUCAGUGUGGUACACUAGGAUGCAACUAUAUUUUUGAUAAUGAUAUAAAUGAUGCUGCUCUGAAAUCAGAAAAGAGCAGUGUAAAGAGGAUUGAGUAUUGGAAAAGGGAAUAAACACUACUGAAGGGAGAUGUGCUCAGUAAGAUGUAUAUCUCAAUGUAAACAAGGAGUUUACAACAAGGAUUUGAAUAGUAGCAACCUAGUAAAACAUAACAGCCUCUAAGAGUGCAAGCGGAGAGUCCCAGUGACCUCGAGAACAGAAUAGAAUCCUUGAAAGGACAUGAAACCCAAAGCAUGUUGACCAUAAUGGGCUCACAAAGCAUAUUGGCAACAGUACUCUAUUGAAGCCUUGAAGAGAACACAUUUCACAGUGGUGACCUUAGAAUCAUCUAACAGGAACAAUGAUCAAACAAUUUGUGUAUGGUUGGCCUUGUUUGAAGGACUGCACUUUCCUUCAAUGAAUCAUGCUUCCAACCAUUUAUUUGUUGUGCUCUGACAAUAAUCUAAGGAGAUAAAAAUCGCACUGAAACAUUAGAAAAAGAAAUGCUAUUGCUUGUAUGCACUUUACCAUUGUGGACAAAGCAGCUACUAUGGUUGGUACCCCUUUGAACAUUUAAACAUUCUUCUCCCCCCUCCCACUUGUGUACAGUAGUGUUCACCAUCUACGAGUUGGA
This is a long non-coding RNA of Stegostoma tigrinum, 2080 nucleotides long. RefSeq lists it as uncharacterized. The transcript is spliced from 5 exons. Lineage: Eukaryota; Metazoa; Chordata; Chondrichthyes; Orectolobiformes; Stegostomatidae. The record is from RefSeq and is a predicted model, not a curated record.